RNAcentral lists this ribosomal RNA (252 nucleotides) under uncultured bacterium. RNAcentral's name for it is "partial 16S ribosomal RNA". It matches the Rfam family "Bacterial small subunit ribosomal RNA", at positions 524 to 776 of the family's 1533-position model. The record is from RNAcentral.
UACGAAGGGGGCUAGCGUUGUUCGGAAUUACUGGGCGUAAAGGGUGCGUAGGUGGUUUCUUAAGUCAGAGGUGAAAGGCUACGGCUCAACCGUAGUAAGCCUUUGAAACUGAGAAACUUGAGUGCAGGAGAGGAGAGUAGAAUUCCUAGUGUAGCGGUGAAAUGCGCAGAUAUCAGGAAGAACACCAAUGGCGAAAGCAGCUUUCUGGGACGGUACUGACGCUGAGACGCGAAAGCGUGGGGAGCGAACAGG